Molecule: transfer RNA, 72 nt
Filed under: Camelus bactrianus (Bactrian camel)
Lineage: Eukaryota; Metazoa; Chordata; Mammalia; Artiodactyla; Camelidae
Also listed under: 1 other name
Rfam family: tRNA
About the family: Transfer RNA (tRNA) molecules are approximately 80 nucleotides in length. Their secondary structure includes four short double-helical elements and three loops (D, anti-codon, and T loops).
Source: Rfam by way of RNAcentral
GAGGGUAAAGCUCAGUGGUACAGUAAGUGCUUAUCAGGCACGAAGUCCUGGAUUCAAUUCCCAGUAACUCCA